UAUUUUACCAUAUUAUUUAAAAAAUAUUUGCUGUUAUUCUCACUACAAUAAAAACGGUCUAUAGCGACACUUUUAAAUAUCGGCAUAGGUCAAAAAAGUGCUGCUGGCUAAAUUUACCGACACUUUUGAAAAGUGUUGCUAUAUGUAGGGUCGCUAGAUAUAUAGUGACAGUUAAAGAGUGUUGCUAUAAUCUAAAAGAGUGCUGCUAAUUUACCAACAUUUAUUUAAACAUCUAGCAACCGCUGGAACUCUACCUCGUUGGCUACGGUGGCAGAGCAGGACGAGAGAAAAUGAUCUUCAUUUAGGAUUUCAGUCGAUUGAGUGACGGGAGAAGGGAAAAUGAUAAUCGAUUUUUCUUUUCUUUUUCUUUUCUUUUUCUUUUCUGUUUGUAAUCGGGCCGAAUGGGCUAAGUGGAGUGGGUUGAGUAGAGUACCCUUUUAUUUUUAGUUGGAUUGGACAUUAUAUUUAGGCAUUAAUAGGAUUUUUUUUAAGUUUUGGCAUAAAUGUGACACUUAUACAAAAGUGUCCCAAACAUGUGUCGCUAUAACCUAAAUCUGUUGUAGUGUCUGGGGUUAUCCACUGCACCAGAAACUUGUUCCCCAUUGCUUAAUU
RNAcentral lists this long non-coding RNA (612 nucleotides) under Ananas comosus (pineapple). RNAcentral describes it as "long non-coding RNA (ACOM_LNC012272)". The record is from RNAcentral. Lineage: Eukaryota; Viridiplantae; Streptophyta; Magnoliopsida; Poales; Bromeliaceae.